GACGAACGCUGGCGGCGUGCUUAACACAUGCAAGUCGAGCGACAGGCUCCUUCGGGGGUUAUGGAGCGGCGAACGGGUGAGUAACACGUGGGUAACCUGCCCUUAGCUUUGGGAUAACUCCGGGAAACCGGGGCUAAUACCGAAUAUUCGCGCCCUGGGGCAUCUUGGGGUGUGGAAAGUUUUUCGGCUAGGGAUGGGCCCGCGGCCUAUCAGCUUGUUGGUGGGGUGAUGGCCUACCAAGGCGGUGACGGGUAGCCGGCCUGAGAGGGCGACCGGCCACACUGGGACUGAGACACGGCCCAGACUCCUACGGGAGGCAGCAGUGGGGAAUCUUGCGCAAUGGGCGAAAGCCUGACGCAGCGACGCCGCGUGAGGGAUGACGGCCUUCGGGUUGUAAACCUCUUUCAGCAGGGACGAAGCGAAAGUGACGGUACCUGCAGAAGAAGCACCGGCCAACUACGUGCCAGCAGCCGCCGUAACAC
Molecule: ribosomal RNA, 482 nt
Filed under: uncultured bacterium
Lineage: Bacteria
Description: bacterial SSU rRNA
Rfam family: Bacterial small subunit ribosomal RNA
Source: RNAcentral